This 321-nucleotide ribosomal RNA is filed under the name Prismatolaimus sp. DLP005. RNAcentral's name for it is "eukaryotic LSU rRNA". It matches the Rfam family "Eukaryotic large subunit ribosomal RNA", at positions 646 to 944 of the family's 3401-position model. The record is from RNAcentral. Lineage: Eukaryota; Metazoa; Nematoda; Enoplea; Triplonchida; Prismatolaimidae.
GACCCGUCUUGAAACACGGACCAAGGAGUCUAACAUGUGCGCAAGUCAUUGGGUUGCAAAACCUAAAGGCGUAAUAAAAGUGAAGGUUAGCUUCCGCUAGCUAAGGUGGGAUUCUUGGCUUGACCGAGACGCACCACCGUCCCAUCGCAUCUGCUUGCCAGAGCGGUGGAGAAAGAGCGUACACGUUGGGACCCGAAAGAUGGUGAACUAUGCCUGAGCAGGAUGAAGCCAGAGGAAACUCUGGUGGAGGUCCGUAGCGGUUCUGACGUGCAAAUCGAUCGUCAGACUUGGGUAUAGGGGCGAAAGACUAAUCGAACCAUC